Cinara cedri is the source of this 619-nucleotide non-coding RNA. The record is from the annotation of a GenBank genome assembly. NCBI's taxonomy places the organism in Eukaryota, Metazoa, Arthropoda, Insecta, Hemiptera, Aphididae.
GUGGUGAGAUUCGGAAACGAGGGUAUAGCGCCCAAAAGCCUGUGCAGGAAUGACAGCUCACAAUACUAUUAUGGAUGACAAAAUGGCGGCAAGGCGACGGUCAACCGGUUGCCUUGCUCAUCUCAGACCCCAGCGAAUCCCGCCACAUCAAGAAUGUAUUGUUUCUAACGGAACGGGACAUUUGCUCGGCAAAGAAAUGAGCUUAGCAAACCAAAAACUUAAAAAGACUUUCGAAUUUAUUUUAGUCUAUACAAUUUAUUUUAUUUGAACUCACGUUUGUGUACAUAUAAAUAAUAUCUAAGUACAUAUAUCAGUGAAAUCGUAUUAAAUGUUAUUUUUUUUUUAAGUGUACAAUAAUAAAUCAGGUGAUUUUCAAAUAAUAUAACCCCAAUUUAUUUCAGUUCAAUCCACGCAUCUAUAGAAAUAAAAUUAAUUUUUAAAAUAAAUCGCGUCGAACAAGUUUAAGGUAGGUAAGGUGUUAACAUUUUGAAAGAAUAUUACCAAAUACUAAUUUUUGAUUAUUGGAUAUCCAUUUCCGUUUAUCAUUGAUUUACCUAUAAAAAAAUAUCUCAAACUAACAAAAGUGAAGACUAAUUCGAUAAAUUGUACCCGAAAAACC